UUUCCGUAGGUGAACCUGCGGAAGGAUCAUUAUUGGAUUUUGGAACUUCAGGCUGCUGCUGGCUCUCCUCGGAGGGCAUGUGCACGCUUGUUGUCCAUUAUUUCUCCCACUGUGCACAAAUUGUAGACCUUUCAGUAGGCCUAUGUUGUUUUUCACAAUCUCUGAAUGUAAUAGAAUGGUUUUGAAUCUUGGGAAAUACAAUGCAACUUUCAGCAACGGAUCUCUUGGCUCUC
Molecule: unclassified non-coding RNA, 233 nt
Filed under: plant metagenome
Description: partial contains small subunit ribosomal RNA, internal transcribed spacer 1, and 5.8S ribosomal RNA
Source: RNAcentral